AAUGAACGCUGGCGGCGUGCUUAACACAUGCAAGUCGAACGAGAAAGGGAUUGCUUGCAAUCCUGAGUAGAGUGGCGCACGGGUGAGUAACACGUAGAUAAUCUACCUUCAAUACUGGGAUAACUAUUCGAAAGGAUAGCUAAUACCGGAUAAAGUGAAUUGACAAAAGUUAAUUUAUGAAAGAUUGCCUCUUCUUGAAAGCAAUUGAUUGGAGAUGAGUUUGCGGACCAUUAGUUUGUUGGUGGGGUAAAGGCCUACCAAGACUACGAUGGUUAGCUGGUCUGAGAGGAUGAUCAGCCACACUGGGACUGAGACACGGCCCAGACUCCUACGGGAGGCAGCAGUGGGGAAUAUUGGACAAUGGGGGCAACCCUGAUCCAGCAAUGCCGCGUGUGUGAAGAAGGCCUGCGGGUUGUAAAGCACUUUCAGUAGAGAAGAAAAGCCUAGGGUUAAUACCCCUGAGUCU
Molecule: ribosomal RNA, 466 nt
Filed under: uncultured Desulfobacteraceae bacterium
Lineage: Bacteria; Pseudomonadati; Thermodesulfobacteriota; Desulfobacteria; Desulfobacterales; Desulfobacteraceae
Description: bacterial SSU rRNA
Rfam family: Bacterial small subunit ribosomal RNA
Source: RNAcentral